UUCUUUUUUUUGCUCUGGUAUUAGUCAACUAUGUAGGUUAUGUUGUUUCCUGAUAUAAAGGCCCAUAUAAAGUUAUAAAAUCAGCACACAAACUAGGAUUAGUCACUAUCCUAUUUCAAAGAACUAAAUUUAAAACAAUCCAGUAACAUCACCUUAUCUCCUAUCUAAUAAUUCAUAAAUGUUGUGUUUGGUAAGCUACAGCACACAUUUUUGUAGUGCUAUUAAUUGCUUUGCUCUUGCUUCUUUAUGCUACUAUCACUGAUUAUGGUUGUGUCAUAUAAAAGGCUACAAGCUCUAAGAGAAUUACAAGGGAGCAUUCAAAUGCUUUUUUAUUAUAGUGGAAUUUUGUUUCAGGAAACACAUGUUGCUACAUUUUAACCAUUCCAAACUUCUGCUCCUAGUCCAAUCCUUUAGCUGUUUCCACAAGUUGGGGGAGCCGGAGCAUGCUGGACUAGGGAAAUUUAGCAAGAGGUAAACUCUCCUCCUGAUUAAGGAUUUUGCCUCUUAGAAAAUUGAAUGAGAUAGGUGGAGAUAAGACUCAGCAUAGUGAUCAAUUACCACGAGCCAAUCAGUCACUGUGAUGCUCAAGAAGCUAGAUCACAUACCCACAAUUUUUUUAAAGAAGGGAAACUGAUAUUCAAUCUUUCUGUUCUUUUCUCUCUGAAUGCUCUCAUUUUAUUAGCUUCAGUUAACAAAUUAUGAUUCCCAAAUAUCCACCUUCAUUCCCAAAGGUCCUGUAUUUUUAAUUUCCUCUAGAAUGUUUCCAAUUAUAAAUCAUCAUUCCAAAUUCAACAACAAAUUCCAAUUUUACUCAGUUUCUUAAAACUAACUCCCUUAUCCCAAUCACUCAGGCUUACAAUCUUGAAAUAUUCAUUGAUGCCUAUUUACAAUCCACUGGAAUCAACUGCCAAGUCCUAGCUAUACCUCCUUCAAUCUCUCAAAUCAGCAAAAACAUUUUGACUGUGCAGAGAACUGUGUGUGGUAGGCAGGCCAAGGACUGCAGGAGAUAAGAAAAUAAGCCUAACACACUGUAUUCCUUUCUUUAAGAACUUAAACUCAAAAAAAAAGAAAGUCAACCAAUUAUCAUAUUUAAAAUAUAUUGUGCCCUUACAUUUGCCAGGCACUGUGCUGAACCAUUUUCAUGCAUUAUCAAAAAAAAAACUGGGCAUGGUGGCUCACUCCUGUAAUCUCAACACUUUAAGAGGCCAGGGCAAGAGGAUUACUUGCGCUAGAAGAGACCAGUCUGGGGCAACACAGUGAGACGCCAUCUCUACAAAAAUUUUUUAAAAGUAGCCGCACAUGGUGGCAUGUACCUGUAGUCCCAGCUACUCGGGGGACUGAGGCAGGAAGACAGCUUAAACAUAGGAGUUUGAGGAUGCAGUGAGCCAUGAUCUUGCCACUGAACUCCAGUUUGGGCAACAGAGACCCAGUCUCAAAAACAAACAAAAAAAACCUAUAAGGUAUACACUAUCAUCUCCAAACUACAGAUGGGAAGAAAUAACACCUGCAGAGGUUGAAGUGUUUAAAGUCAUACAGUUAUUAAGUGAUAGAGCUUGAACUCAAAAACAGAUGACUACAAAGCCUUUGCUACCCUUAAAUAAAAUAACAAAAUAUAACUGCCAGAAGAAACGUAAAAAGAAAAGAAAAAAACAAUCUCUUCCUAACUUAUCUCUUCUGCUCCAUCUCCACUGACAAUACCAGAUUUCAGAAUUUCUGCAAAGUUGGCCCUUGAAUGGGCUGCUGAAAAAUCAUCUAGGAAGCCUAUGUAAAUGAAUAUUCACAGUCCAACCCUAGAGAUUCUGAGUCACUGGGUAUGGGGUGUUUCUGAUGCAUAGUUUUUUUAAAAACCAUACUCCUAAUUCUUGUUCAUUCAUUCAUACAACAAAGAUUUGAAUUCCUACUAUGCACCAAGCCAUGUCAAAGGUUCAUCUUCUACAGAAGGAAGAUCUGGUGUAGUGGCUCUGCCAUACUUACUUGCUAUAGUAUCUUGGGUAAGUAGCUUAACCUGUCUUAAAUCUAAAUUUUCUAGCUUAUAAAACAAAGAUAAUACUUUCCAGGUUGUUGUGAAAGUUAAUGAGAUAAUAUAAAGCAUUUAGCACAGGGGCUGACAUACAAUUCUUGAUAAAUGCUAGCUAUUAUUUCCUGAGAAACACAACCUAGAGAGUAAUUUUUUUCUAGAGAUUAAAUUUAAGCAAAGUAACAAGGAAAUAGUCUAGGCAUUCACACAUCGGCGGGGCGGCGGGGGGAAUCUAAACCAUGUAACAAAGAUUACACAGAGAGUUUUCUCUAAUUAGGUGAAUCAAAUUCAUAAGGCUGAGAUUUUUUUUUUUUGUAAGAUUUCUUUAAACAGAAAUACAGUUAACUUUACUAACAAAAAUGAAGCAACACCUCAAGUUCUGAAAAGGCAGUCAGGAGUCCCCAGAGUAUUAACAGAAAGAACACAGGACUUAAAUACAGAAGAACUCAGGUCCCAAUAGCAGAUCGAACCACCUGCCAGGUAGACGGCAUCAAAAAAGUAAUUUAAAUUCUCUAAUUCUGUUUUUUCACUUAUAAAAUUAGGUUAAAAAAUAGCUGUCACAGAAAGCAUGGCCAGCAGGUCCUCCACAGGACCUUUCCCUUCUGUGCCUAAAAUUCUGAACUGUGUUUUACAAUAAGCCUGAAAGUUCAUUCACCGCAAUAUAGUAUUUGCAAUCCAAAGUCAGUAUUUCAACACGAAAUUGGCAGGCAGGAAAGGAGGGAGAGUCUUUCCCUAAGUCUAAGUAAGAAUCGGACUUCUCACUAGGAGUAUGUCUCUUGUACUUAUUUCAAACAGCAUGCAAAGCAUGACUCAUCAAGGAAUAAGAAUUUCAGUGAGUGCUUUUUGAUUAAGAAGAUAUUGUGAAUAUUUCUGCCUUUGGAGAUGGCUAAAGAAAUAGCAUUAUUAAGUGGGUGCAGUGGCUCACGUCUGUAAUCCCAGCACUCUGGGAGGAUCAGGUGGGUGGAUCACCUGAGGUCAGGAGUUCAACACCAGCCUGGCCAACAUGGUGAAACUCCGUCUCUACUAAAAAUACAAAAUUUAGCUGGGGGUGGUGGUGGGCACCUGUAAUCCCAGCUACUUGGGAGGCUGAGGCAGAAAAUCACCUGAACCCAGGAGGCAGAAGGAGGUUGCAGUGAGCCAAGACUGUGCAAUGAGAGCAAAACUCCAUCUCAAAAAGAAAAAAGAAAACAGCAUUAUUAUUAAACAAUAUGCACAGAAUUCAUGGAAGAAACGUGAACUUCCCACAUACACCUUCCUUCGUUUACCCAGCUUUUCCCCACUGCUCUUCAAACAAGAUCAUUCUUGCACUAAUUGCUGGAAUGUGGCCACAAGAUGAACAUGCUCCUCAUUCACUGACUCCUACAAAAUAUUUAAGCUUACAUUUUAAGAUUGCUAAGAAGUUGAAGUCAGUUAGCAAAAUUCCUUAAUCCGCUCCAGAUAUGAAUAUAUCCAAGACUUUGACCAUAAGGCUAUAUUAACCUCUGCUAUCAUAAUCAGUGGAACUAAUUUACCAAUAUUUUACUCACCGGGGAAAAAAAGACAUAAAAGGGAAAAGGAAAUUCACAAUGCAGCUCUGUAACCAAGCUACGAUAUAACAAGGAAUUAAUAAGGAGUCCCCUCAUUUGGCUUGAAUGAUGGAGAAACUUGAGUAAAAACAUGCAUUUAAAAAAAACAUUUAAGGCCAGGCGCGGUGGCUCACGCCUGUAAUCCCAGCACUUUGGGAGGUUGAGGCGGGCGGAUCACGAGGUCAGGAGAUCGAGACCAUCCUGGUCAACAUGCUGAAACCCCAUCUCUACUAAAAAUACAAAAAUUAACUGGGUGUGGUGGCACGUGCCUGUAGUCCCAGCUACUCAGGAGGCUGAGACAGGAGAAUCGCUUGAACCCGGGAGGUGGAGGUUGCAGUGAGCCGAGAUCAUGCCACUGCACUCCAGCCUGGCGACAGAGCGAGACUCCAUCUCAAAAAAAAGAAAAACAAAAAAACAAAAAGCAAAAAACAUUUAAAAAACGAUCCCCUCCACCACCCAGAGAAAAAAAAAAAACCUUAGGAUGAUCGUACAAGUGUUAUAAUGUUUUUUUAAAAAAUGUUUGUGAAUGCCUUUUAAAAAAAAUGCUUUCUUCACCACUAAUAGCAGGUUUCAGUUCUGUUAUUUAGUUUUUAAGCCACCAAUGGGAACCUAUGUGCCCAAAUUGUAUUUUACAAUGCUUUCCAAUACAGACCAAAAGUGUAGAUAAGGGUAUCAAUGUGAAUGAAGUAUUUCUUUUCAAAUUCUUUUCAAAAUAAGUAUUCUCUUUUAUGACCUGAAUCUAGGUGAUUCAUAUGUUGUUUUGCUGGACGAUCCCUAGAAGUUUUGGGAUUAAGUUUGAAGUUUCCUAACUCUUAACAGCUUUCUUAUCUAAGACGAUCAAGUUUUACAGAUGGCCACUUUUUGUCAGCCACCUUUUCCCUAAUUUAUAUAAGGAAUGAAAUGAGCAACCUGAUUCAGGUUAUAACUUUUUACUUAAACUAAGUGAGUAAUUGUCAUUUAGAGACCUAACAGCUGAAUGCAUUCUCUAAAGCAUAAAGAAACAGACAAAUUAUAGGUGCACAAUUUGCUUUCAGGGACCACAGAAUUUUGAAAUGUAAAAGCUUCCUGUUAAGACCAUACUUAGAGAUGUUUAUCUCAGGGUCCUCAACCUCAAGGACUUAUCCUCCAUGUGCAAAUAAAGCUGAAGGUGUAACUUCCGAGGAGGCACCACUGGCAACUUGUAAGACCAAAAAGCCUUUUGAGAACCAAAAUAACUGAAACUCUAAAGGGGGAAUUUCAGAUUGUGACAAACGGUAAAAGAGAGUGAGGUGGCAAGGGGACUCCUAACCAGUUCCAUUCAAAUCAUCAAUGUGCAGUUAACAACCUCUCCUUAUUGGAGAAACCAAUGUAAUAACUUAAAAAUAUAUUACUGUAAUAAUCGUAAUUUUAAAACAUAAAUAGCCUAGGUUAAAUUGAACCCCUCUCCCCGAUCCUACUGGUCAUUCAGCAUGUUUUAAAUUCAAGGUUGCCCUUUAGGAAAGGAGGUCACUUAAGGACAGUUUACCUCAAUGAGACAUCUUGCAUACUAAUUCAAAACUAUUUUAGAAGGGGGAAAAUGGAGAUGAGAAAAGUAACAUACUACUUGAGAUACUUGAGAUGUUACCAUAUUAUUUCUCAUGGCCACAAUUAUUUACACUAUUUUUUUUUGAAAACUCAGUAAUUUCUAAAGCAUUAAUUAUGUAGCAAUAUUUGUCACUUUAACAAAACACAUUUGAAAAGUCCCAUCCUACUGACUCAGGCCAAAUCUAAUUUUAAAACUGAACCUAGACAUAAAACUACUCACCAAUUAGACUAAGAAGGGAGAAAGAAAAAAAAUUAUUGGUUCAGAGAAAUGACACUGGAUUAAGGAAAAACUUUUAAAUAAAGUGUUCAUCAAAAAAAUACAUAGAAGUUCCAAGGCUAAUCUAAGCUAGUGUUUUCCUAGGGAGAAUAUUAAGAAGUUGGUUGUUUCUCUCUACCUAACUGGGAUUUUAGAAACUGCCACACUAGCUAGUUAUGAGAAUGAAGAUUAAAGAAAUUUCACAUAAAGAGCGAAGGACACACAAUCUUUUAAGUAACAAUAAUGAAAUCAAUAAUUAUAAUAAAUAAUAAAAAAACAAGCCUGGCAGUCCACCCCUCACUGACUUCCCCAUCAAAAAAAAAAAAAAAAAAAAAAAAAAAACUGGGAGUGUUCUGGGAAUUGGAGAGAUGUCAUCAGCACAGGAAAAAAAAGCACUUUUCUAUAUGUCAUCGUGAAGCAGUGAUUUUACAUAAAAAUAAGGGUAGUCUAUUCUCUAUGUAGUUAUGAGUGUGGUACAACUCUCUAAAACGUCUAUUAAUACAAAGUAAACGACCACACUUUAAAGCCAUUCUACAUUUUCGCAAACUACCCCACAUAUCUAGGAGUAACUAUUUGCAACUUAAACACAUUCGUAUAUACCUCUAUACCUUCCGGCUUCCUUCAAGAUACCAUCACAGAAUGAACGAAUACAACUUAAAUUAGUUUUUUUUCCAGGGUGCUUCCUUUCCCCCUCUCCAUGAAACAUAAGUACAUUUUUUUAAGUCAUAUAAAUGGACACCAAGCACCGGUAAUUCAAAAUCUUUAAAACCUGCUUAAUUUUAAAAGUUCUAGUAAGAUGUGCUCAGGUUGGAAACUAAAAACUACCUUAUAAGGGUAUAAAAGACUGAAAGCAGGAAGCGGCUUUGACAAAACUAAGGAAGUUGCAGCGCGCUUGCUCACUGGGGGACUUUUUUGAGGCUACAGAAGUAACACAUGACAUCUUUCUCCCUCGAAUUAAAAUGUGACUUGGUUCACCGGUUAAAACGCAGAGGGAGAUGGAAAUGACCCGGAGUCGAAAAGAGAAGGUUGAGGAAAGGGUGGAAGCGCCUCCUGCAGCCACGAAUAUCCUCCAGUGCCUGGGAGAAAACGGCCUAAUCGAAAACGUCCGCGGCAUACAUCCAUUCUUAAAACUUGAGUGGCUGCUUUUCUGGGUGGAAAAGAGCGGUGUCAGACAGGGUGAGCAGUCGGGGAACGGAUGAACAAAGACUUGCACCGUGGCCCUGAUGCCUUUGUUCCGAGCUUUAUUCAGUUGUACUUGUGCGUCGUUACAGGACUUUAGAAUGUAGCCCUGCCCCCCAACCCCCACCUCCCAGGGCCGACCUGUGCUCCUAAGGAAGGCAAAACUCCCAAGAAUAUAUUCUGCGUAACUAUACAAAUAGGCCAUUAUUCAAGGCUUUUGGAUUAUGACAAAGAUUACCCUCAGGAGUAGUAAGAUUCUACUAGCAGGAUAAUAGAAAGGAUUAAGGCUCCCUCCCAAAAAAAAAUUUUAAGUUAAAAACGGAGGCGGGCCGCAGUGGGUUAUGCCUGUAAUUUCAAUGCUUUGGAAGGCCGAGGUGGGAGGAUAGGAUAGCUUGAGGUUAGGAGUGCGAAACCAGCCUGGGCAACAUGGGGAGCCCCCCCCAUCCCUCCAAAAAAUAAAAGAAAACUGGAAAUCCUUAAAGAAGCCUUUCAAACUUUAGAUCAGAAUCACCUGAAAGGUUUGUUAAAACAGAUUGCUGGGCCACACCCCCAGAAUUCUCUGACUGGGCUGUCUGAAAUAAUGCCUGAGAAUUUGCGUGUCUAAUAAGUUCCUAGUUCCACUUUAGGACCCUAGAAGGUUAAUAAUAUCUUUCCUCUCUACCAGGCUUAUCUUACGAUAAACCAUUCUGGCUUUGCUAAUGUGAAGCUAAAAUAAAAAUAUUCUUUAAAAGGAAAGAUGUCUUAUUCAGUCCAAAAGAUCAUCUAAUGUGGUAUUAAGCUGGCCUGGGGGAUGAAUCGGGUGUUUCAUUCAUUCGUUUGACAGGCUAUUCCCACCUGUGUCCACUCCCCAGACUUCUCCACCAGUCAUCAAUGAAUCAUGAAUCGCUUGCCUCCUGAGAGAAACGUUUCCUGACCUCCCAAUGGUUGUCUCUCCCAGUUGGAAAAUACUCCCACCAGAGUUUGAAGAGAGCCUGGCAUGUAAUAAGUGCUCAAUAAAUAUCUGUUGAGAGAAUAAAUGAAUCAAAUAACAAAAAUAAAACUAUAAAUUAUAAGAAAUUAGAAGGGAAUUUAGAAAAAAAUGUUGAUAUAAUCUCAAGGUGGGGAGGACUUUCCGAAGUAAAAGAAGAAACCCAUAGCCUUUAAUGGAAAGAUUUGUUUACAUGAACAAUUAAAUUCCCACUAAGUUACAUUUUUAAAUUAUAGAUUAGAAGAAGAUAUUUUAAAAUAGAAAAAAUAUCCAGAGCUGUAUGGAAAAUGAACAUGCUGAUCACUGGUGAAGAUGUGAAUUGCCACACCCUUCUGGAAAGUUAUCUAGCAGUAUCUGCUAAAACAACAUUCACAUAUAUUAGACUUAGGAAUUUCAUUUUGUUGAAUUCUAAAGACAUGCAAAUACUGAUGUCGGAGAGAUCACGAUUAUGAAAGAUUUCAAAAUCAGAAGAUUUAGAAAUAUAUUGUUUGUUCCCAGUGUCACUAUGGCCAAGUAAAUCUCAGGGGCUUUCUUAGCCCAGAAGACAAGGCUGGAUCUUGAGGGACAACUAGCAAUCUCUUCCAUCUGUCUGUAUUAACCUAGAGAGAUAUGGAGCAGAGAUUGACACUUACUCCUUCCUGAGUAAUAACACCUGGAUUUUAUUCAGAUGCUGUGUACCCAGCCAAAAGACUACAUUUCUCAAUCUCCAUUGUAGCUGGAUAUGGCUGUGUGAUCAAGUUAUGACCAAUGAGAUAGAAGUAGCUUGGCCAGGCACAGUGGCUCACACCUGUAAUCGCAGCACUUUGGGAGGCCAAAGCAGGAGGAUCACUUGCACUCAAGAGUUGGAAACUGCAGACCAGCCUAGAGAACAUAGUGAGACAUUGAUUGUCUCUACACAAAAUGAAAAAAUUAGCUGGGUAUGGUGGCAUGUGCCUGUGGUCCCUGCUACUUCCAGCUACUUGGGAGGCUGAGAUGGAAGGAUUGCUUGAGCCUGGGAGAUUGAGGCCUCAGCGAGCCAUGAUCAUGUCACUGUGCUCCAGCCUGGGUGACAAGAGCAAGACCCUGUCUCAAAAAAAAAAAAAAAAGUAUCUGCGUGGAACAUCUGGAAAACAUCUUUAAAGAAGGCUGACUCAGGAGGAGCGCCAUUUUGUUUCUUGCCUCCACCCUUCUUCCUGCCUGAAACAGAGAAGCUUUACUCAAGCCCGAAAGUAGUCACUACCAUGAAUGAUAAGUAAUAUAAGGAAGAAAAUGUAAGACAAAUAAGUGCCCUCUGAGUACCAAACAGGAAUGUACUGUUUAUAGAGAUUUCAAAUCAGCAGAAAAUUCAAAUAGUUAUAACUUUUCUUUAUAAUCCACCAUGAGAAAGAGGAACGACAAGAAGCUGAUUCCUACCAAUUGCAUUUCCUGGGCUCAUUUAACCAUGCCCAGAAGGAAUUAGGACGAUGAAAGAUAAAAAGAUAAAGGAGCACUGGUAGAAUAAGAGGAGGAGCCAACAUAUCCUCUCCCCUUUGAUUCAGACAACUUCUCCACCAUCACCUUCUUCACAAUGGCCACUUUUCCUCUGCAAUUGUGGUUCUUCUUCCCUGGCAAUGGGUCCAGGGCUCUGUUAACUCAGCUCCUCCCCAGUCCUAGAGGUAGAUGGUAGAGGCUUCCUGCUAUUGUUACUCUCUGGGGUUCCCCUUCUUCUCCAGUUUGGCUUUCCAGCCCUUCCAACUCCUUUGUAACUAGUUCCUGGUAUUAAAUUCACUUAACUGAA
Molecule: long non-coding RNA, 9303 nt
Organism: Symphalangus syndactylus (siamang)
Lineage: Eukaryota; Metazoa; Chordata; Mammalia; Primates; Hylobatidae
Source: RefSeq, a predicted model, not a curated record